UACGGGGGGGGCAAGCGUUGUUCGGAAUUACUGGGCGUAAAGGGCUCGUAGGCGGCCAACUAAGUCGGACGUGAAAUCCCCAGGCUCAACCUGGGAACUGCGUCCGAUACUGGAUGGCUUGAAUUCGGGAGAGGGAUGCAGAAUUCCAGGUGUAGCGGUGAAAUGCGUAGAUAUCUGGAGGAAUACCGGUGGCGAAGGCGGCAUCCUGGACCGACAUUGACGCUGAUG
RNAcentral lists this ribosomal RNA (228 nucleotides) under uncultured bacterium. RNAcentral describes it as "partial 16S ribosomal RNA". It matches the Rfam family "Bacterial small subunit ribosomal RNA", at positions 524 to 751 of the family's 1533-position model. The record is from RNAcentral.